RNAcentral lists this ribosomal RNA (491 nucleotides) under Proteus mirabilis. RNAcentral describes it as "bacterial SSU rRNA". It matches the Rfam family "Bacterial small subunit ribosomal RNA", at positions 1052 to 1533 of the family's 1533-position model. Lineage: Bacteria; Pseudomonadati; Pseudomonadota; Gammaproteobacteria; Enterobacterales; Morganellaceae. The record is from RNAcentral.
UCGUCAGCUCGUGUUGUGAAAUGUUGGGUUAAGUCCCGCAACGAGCGCAACCCUUAUCCUUUGUUGCCAGCACGUGAUGGUGGGAACUCAAAGGAGACUGCCGGUGAUAAACCGGAGGAAGGUGGGGAUGACGUCAAGUCAUCAUGGCCCUUACGAGUAGGGCUACACACGUGCUACAAUGGCAGAUACAAAGAGAAGCGACCUCGCGAGAGCAAGCGGAACUCAUAAAGUCUGUCGUAGUCCGGAUUGGAGUCUGCAACUCGACUCCAUGAAGUCGGAAUCGCUAGUAAUCGUAGAUCAGAAUGCUACGGUGAAUACGUUCCCGGGCCUUGUACACACCGCCCGUCACACCAUGGGAGUGGGUUGCAAAAGAAGUAGGUAGCUUAACCUUCGGGAGGGCGCUUACCACUUUGUGAUUCAUGACUGGGGUGAAGUCGUAACAAGGUAACCGUAGGGGAACCUGCGGUUGGAUCACCUCCUUACCUAAGAGA